Long non-coding RNA from Astatotilapia calliptera (eastern happy), 1432 nucleotides. The record is from Ensembl. NCBI's taxonomy places the organism in Eukaryota, Metazoa, Chordata, Actinopteri, Cichliformes, Cichlidae.
CUUUGUCAGUAUUUUCUUUGUCUUUACACACUCAAAUGAUCAACUUCCACUUUAUAAUCCAUUAUUACAGGUCAAAAGCUCUAUACAGUGGUGUUUUCUAAUAUCUGUGGCUUCUGAUAGAAGAUAAAAAUGACCUUCUCAGGUGGAUAGACGGUGGUCUGAUUUGUAGUCCUAAUUCUGCUUUAAACUUUUGUUUUCUUGUUUUUUCCUUUUGAUGCUUAACUUAAGGAUCCGACCACCCCUUCCAUCACUGCCUGAGGGUCACUGAGGUCAUGUGUUAGUCAUGUGUUAAUCAUGAGGGGGCAUGGCAGUCAUCAGUGUUCAAGGCCGCAUGAGUUACUGUGUCAAUUGGUAGCAAACUGCCCGAGGAAGGAGAUGUCAGGAUGUCAUUACACUAUCAGUGAUUCAGUGUUUCUUUUCUAGCCCCCUACACAGAGCAGUUCAGGGCCAUCCCCUCGGGGCACCUUGGUGUGUCACUGGCCUGGCAUUUUGUAAUGUAUUUGUUCUGUUUUGCCUGUUAGAUUUUUUUUUUUUUUAAGGUUUGUUCCAAGUUUCUCUUUUCUACUUUGUCCUGCUGUCUCUGUCAUCUUGUUUUGUCUUAGUUUUCCUUCCUCAGUGUUAGUUAUUAGUUUUACUUUGAAGGUUACUUUCUCGUGUGUCUUGCUCGAAGCAGGUUCAGCACCAGGAUACAUUUCAGUUAUCUGACUUCAUUUGCCCUCACAACGGCAGGAUAAGCCGUCACGCAAAGGUUGUUAUCAAGUCAAUAAGUUAACCUGGGGUGCAUCAAUCAAGCUACCGUGCAGCGGUAACGUUAGCGGCCUCUGACCAAUCAAAAACUGGAAGAAGUCUAGUGAAGUUGCCUGUUUUGUAGUGCAGGCCUCUGAUCUUUCCCUUUGUUUGUCUGCCUUGUCCUCAUUAGUUUACCUCUGUUUUCAUUAUUCUCACUAUUCAUUAUUCUUCAUAUAAGAGAAGGAAGGUGCAAUUUCAACAGUACAUCUCAGCUUUUCUACAUAAAGAAAUUAUGCUGUUGCAGAUGGAAGAAAUCUUUCAGCACCACUCUGAAAUUACAGAAACAGUUCUGGCCAGAAUAUUCUGCAAUUAUAAAAUAAGGUUUUCUGUAAUCAAGAAUGAAAAUUGAACUCAGGACCUUCUUGCUGUGCGGCAACAGUGCUAACCACCGUGCUGCUCUGAGAAUUUAUGACCAGCAAUUGUGAGGUCAGACACUGAUUUUGGACGAGAAGGCGUGGCUCACAGAUUGCACUCUAAUUUAUCCCAAAGGUGUUUUGUCAGGUUGAGAUCAGGACUCCAGACCCACUAUGUGCCUCAACAUCCACGACCCUAGCUGUCAUGGCCGUACGGCUCGUUUUGCGACACUAGUCGUGAAGAUACCUUGGCCAUUCCUGACAAGGUUUAUCCACACUAUCUGCAUUUG